CGCGGCCUAUCAGCUUGUUGGUGAGGUAACGGCUCACCAAGGCAACGACGGGUAGCUGGUCUGAGAGGACGAUCAGCCACACUGGGACUGAGACACGGCCCAGACUCCUACGGGAGGCAGCAGCAGGGAAUAUUGCACAAUGGGCGCAAGCCUGAUGCAGCGACGCCGCGUGAGGGAUGAAGGCCCUCGGGUUGUAAACCUCUUUCAGGAGGGACGAAGCGAAAGUGACGGUACCUCCAGAAGAAGCCCCGGCCAACUACGUGCCAGCAGCCGCGGUAAUACGUAGGGGGCGAGCGUUGUCCGGAUUCAUUGGGCGUAAAGAGCUCGUAGGCGGCUCAGUAAGUCGGCCGUGAAAGCCCGGAGCUCAACUCCGGGACGCCGGUCGAUACUGCUGUGGCUAGGGUCCGGUAGAGGAGAGUGGAAUUCCCGGUGUAGCGGUGAAAUGCGCAGAUAUCGGGAGGAACACCAAUAGCGAAGGCGGCUCUCUGGGCCGGUACCGACGCUGAGGAGCGAAAGCUAGGGGAGCAAACAGGAUUAGAUACCCUGGUAGUCCUAGCCGUAAACGUUGGGCACUAGGUGUGGCGGAUUCAUUGACAUCUGCCGUGCCGGCGCUAACGCAUUAAGUGCCCCGCCUGGGGAGUACGG
This 645-nucleotide ribosomal RNA is filed under the name uncultured bacterium. RNAcentral describes it as "bacterial SSU rRNA". It matches the Rfam family "Bacterial small subunit ribosomal RNA", at positions 232 to 885 of the family's 1533-position model. The record is from RNAcentral.